RNAcentral lists this ribosomal RNA (301 nucleotides) under uncultured bacterium. Its description in RNAcentral is "partial 16S ribosomal RNA". It matches the Rfam family "Bacterial small subunit ribosomal RNA", at positions 509 to 807 of the family's 1533-position model. The record is from RNAcentral.
CAGCCGCCGCGGGAAAACGAAGGGGGCUAGCGUUGUUCGGAAUUACUGGGCGUAAAGGGCGCGUAGGCGGCCAUUCAAGUUAGAUGUGAAAGCCCUGGGCUCAACCUAGGAAUUGCAUUUGAUACUGUUUGGCUUGAGUUCGGGAGAGGUGAGUGGAAUUCCCAGUGUAGAGGUGAAAUUCGUAGAUAUUGGGAAGAACACCAGUGGCGAAGGCGGCUCACUGGACCGACACUGACGCUGAGGCGCGAAAGCGUGGGGAGCAAACAGGAUUAGAUACCCGCGUAGUCCCUGUCUCUUAUAC